RNAcentral lists this unclassified non-coding RNA (373 nucleotides) under soil metagenome. RNAcentral's name for it is "partial contains 5.8S ribosomal RNA, internal transcribed spacer 2, and large subunit ribosomal RNA". The stretch from base 1 to 121 matches the Rfam family "5.8S ribosomal RNA", at positions 35 to 154 of the family's 154-position model. The record is from RNAcentral.
GAUGAAGAACGCAGCGAAAUGCGAUAAGUAAUGCGAAUUGCAGAAUUCCAGUGAGUCAUCGAAUCUUUGAACGCACAUUGCGCCCUUUGGUACUCCGAAGGGCAUGCCUGUUCGAGCGUCAUUAUCACCCCUCAAGCCCUCGGCUUGGUGUUGGACGGUUUGGUGGAGGCCCCCUCGGGGGCUCCUGCCCCUCCCAAAGACAAUGACGGCGGCCUCGUUGGACCCCCGGUACACUGAGUUCUUCACGGGACACGUAUCGGACACAUGGGUUUACGGGACACGGUCUGCCUCCCCUCAGGGAGAAUCUUUCUAAGGUUGACCUCGGAUCAGGUAGGGAUACCCGCUGAACUUAAGCAUAUCAAUAAGCGGAGGA